GAUGAACGCUGGCGGCGCGCCUAAUACAUGCAAGUCGAGCGAUGAGGCCCCUUCGGGGGCACAUCAGCGGCGAACGGGUGAGUAACACGUUGGUGACCUGCCCCGAAGACGGGGAUAACUACUGGAAACGGUGGCUAAUACCCGAUGUGCUCGGCGAUUCAUUUCGUCGAGUAAAGUUCCGGCGCUUCGGGAUGGGCCUGCGGCCUAUCAGCUAGUUGGUAGGGUAAUGGCCUACCAAGGCGAAGACGGGUAGGGGCGUGAGAGCGCGGCCCCCCACAUUGGCACUGAGAUACGGGCCAGACUCCUACGGGUGGCUG
RNAcentral lists this ribosomal RNA (317 nucleotides) under uncultured Chloroflexota bacterium. RNAcentral describes it as "bacterial SSU rRNA". It matches the Rfam family "Bacterial small subunit ribosomal RNA", at positions 28 to 351 of the family's 1533-position model. The record is from RNAcentral. Lineage: Bacteria; Bacillati; Chloroflexota.